UGGGGAAUAUUGCACAAUGGGCGCAAGCCUGAUGCAGCCAUGCCGCGUGUGUGAAGAAGGCCUUCGGGUUGUAAAGCACUUUCAGCGAGGAGGAAGGUGGUGAGCUUAAUACGCUCAUCAAUUGACGUUACUCGCAGAAGAAGCACCGGCUAACUCCGUGCCAGCAGCCGCGGUAAUACGGAGGGUGCAAGCGUUAAUCGGAAUUACUGGGCGUAAAGCGCACGCAGGCGGUUUGUUAAGUCAGAUGUGAAAUCCCCGGGCUCAACCUGGGGACUGCAUUUGAAACUGGCAAGCUAGAGUCUCGUAGAGGGGGGUAGAAUUCCAGGUGUAGCGGUGAAAUGCGUAGAGAUCUGGAGGGAUACCGGUGGCGAAGGCGGCCCCCCUGGACGAAGACUGACGCUCAGGUGCGAAAGCGUGGGGCAGCAAACAGGAUUAGAUACCCUGGUAGUCCAGCGCUGUAAAACGAUGUCGAUUUGGAGGUUGUGCCCUUGAGGCGUGGCUUCCGGAGCUAACGCGUUAAAUCGACCGCCUGGGGAGUACGGCCGCAAGGUUAAAACUUAAAUGAAUUGACGGGGUC
RNAcentral lists this ribosomal RNA (577 nucleotides) under uncultured bacterium. RNAcentral's name for it is "partial 16S ribosomal RNA". It matches the Rfam family "Bacterial small subunit ribosomal RNA", at positions 355 to 920 of the family's 1533-position model. The record is from RNAcentral.